This 265-nucleotide ribosomal RNA is filed under the name uncultured bacterium. Its description in RNAcentral is "partial 16S ribosomal RNA". It matches the Rfam family "Bacterial small subunit ribosomal RNA", at positions 75 to 339 of the family's 1533-position model. The record is from RNAcentral.
CUAGCUUGCUAGAUGCUGACGAGUGGCGGACGGGUGCGUAACGCGUGGGAAUUUACCCAGUAGUAGGGGAUAACUUGGGGAAACUCAAGCUAAUACCAUAUAAGUCCUACGGGAGAAAGAGGGCCUCUUCUUGAAAGCUCUCGCUAUUGGAUGAGCCCGCGUCGGAUUAGCUAGUUGGUAGGGUAAUGGCCUACCAAGGCGACGAUCCGUAGCUGGUCUGAGAGGAUGAUCAGCCACACUGGGACUGAGACACGGCCCAGACUCC